RNAcentral lists this ribosomal RNA (806 nucleotides) under Phyllosticta citricarpa. RNAcentral describes it as "partial large subunit ribosomal RNA". It matches the Rfam family "Eukaryotic large subunit ribosomal RNA", at positions 83 to 907 of the family's 3401-position model. The record is from RNAcentral. Lineage: Eukaryota; Fungi; Ascomycota; Dothideomycetes; Botryosphaeriales; Phyllostictaceae.
GUAACGGCGAGUGAAGCGGCAAUAGCUCAAAUUUGAAAGCUGGCGUCUUCGACGUCCGCGUUGUAAUUUGUAGAGGAUGUUUCGGCGAGGGCUCCUGCCUAAGUUCCCUGGAAUGGGACGUCACAGAGGGUGAGAAUCCCGUAUGUGGCGGGCGGCCUUAGCCAUGUGAAACUCCUUCGACGAGUCGAGUUGUUUGGGAAUGCAGCUCUAAAUGGGAGGUAAAUUUCUUCUAAAGCUAAAUACCGGCCAGAGACCGAUAGCGCACAAGUAGAGUGAUCGAAAGAUGAAAAGCACUUUGGAAAGAGAGUUAAAAAGUACGUGAAAUUGUUGAAAGGGAAGCGCUUGCAACCAGACUCGUUCGCAGUUGCUCAGCCCGCCUCUUGGUGGGUGUACUCUUCUGCGGUCGGGCCAGCAUCAGUUCGGGCGGUCGGAUAAAGGUGUCGGGAAUGUAGCACCCUUCGGGGUGUGUUAUAGCCCGGCGCGGAAUGCGGCCAGCCUGGACUGAGGAUCUCGCUUCGGCAAGGAUGCUGGCGUAAUGGUUGUAAGCGGCCCGUCUUGAAACACGGACCAAGGAGUCUAACAUCUAUGCGAGUGUUUGGGUGUCAAACCCAUGCGCGUAAUGAAAGUGAACGGAGGUGGGAACCCGCAAGGGUGCACCAUCGACCGAUCCUGAUGUCUUCGGAUGGAUUUGAGUAAGAGCAUAGCUGUUGGGACCCGAAAGAUGGUGAACUAUGCCUGAAUAGGGUGAAGCCAGAGGAAACUCUGGUGGAGGCUCGCAGCGGUUCUGACGUGCAAAUCGAUCGUCA